This 398-nucleotide ribosomal RNA is filed under the name Cryomonadida sp. RNAcentral describes it as "partial small subunit ribosomal RNA". It matches the Rfam family "Eukaryotic small subunit ribosomal RNA", at positions 582 to 975 of the family's 1831-position model. Lineage: Eukaryota; Cercozoa; Thecofilosea; Cryomonadida. The record is from RNAcentral.
AUUCCAGCUCCAAGAGCGUAUAUUAAAGUUGUUGCAGUUAAAAAGCUCGUAGUUGGAUUUCUGGUCUAAUGCGCCUGGCCCGCUGCCGUUAGGUAUGUGAGUGCCGGUGCGCGUUUACCAUCCUUCCAGAGAACACUUCUACCAUUUAUUUGGACGGAUGUUGUCUUCUGGAUCUUUUACUUUGAAAAAAUUAGAGUGUUUAAAGCAGGCCUUUGCUGUGAAUACAUUAGCAUGGAAUAAUAAUCUAGGACUUCGGUUCUAUUUUGUUGGUUUCUAGUACUGAAGUAAUGAUUGAUAGGGGUAGUUGGGGGUGCUAGUAUUGGCCGGCCAGAGGUGAAAUUCUUGGAUUCGGUCAAGACUAACUUAUGCGAAGGCAUUCACCAAGGAUGUCUUCAUCG